Molecule: ribosomal RNA, 372 nt
Filed under: Triticum aestivum (bread wheat)
Lineage: Eukaryota; Viridiplantae; Streptophyta; Magnoliopsida; Poales; Poaceae
Description: partial small subunit ribosomal RNA
Source: RNAcentral
AUGGUGGAAGUCGGAGUCUUGCUCAAGCCGCGCGACGGGCCGGAGCUGGAGCUGGCCGGCGCCUGCCCGCUGGUGGAAGGGGAUGAUGUCGAGGGACUGGACCUCGUCGCCGACGAAGUUGAAGCCGUAGAGGAGGGGGAGGGUGGGCUGGAGGGCGUGGUGGGCGAGGAGGAAGCGGCGGGCGGAGGUGGCGCUGCGCCACGCGCGGCAGACGGCGCGGCAGCGGAGGAGCGAUUUGGGGGGCAGCCGGACGAGGAUCUCCCAGAUGGUGAUCUCGUCCGGGAGGCUGCGGUGGGGAGGAUCUGCCAUGGUCGCCGCCGGCGUCCAGCAAGAGGAGUGAGUGACGGCGGCGUUGAGGGGAGUGGGAGGUAG